Molecule: ribosomal RNA, 204 nt
Filed under: uncultured bacterium
Lineage: Bacteria
Description: partial 16S ribosomal RNA
Rfam family: Bacterial small subunit ribosomal RNA
Source: RNAcentral
UACGUAGGGUGCGAGCGUUUGUCCGGAAUUACUGGGCGUAAAGAGCUUGUAGGUGGUUUUGUCGCGUUGUUCGUGAAAUCUCACGGCUUAACUGUGAGCGUGCGGGCGAUACGGGGCAGACUAGAGUACUGCAGGGGAGACUGGAAUUCCUGGUGUAGCGGUGAAAUGCGCAGAUAUCAGGAGGAACACCGGUGGCGAAGGCGG